UGAAAAUCUUUUAAAAUGUUGCAUGAUGAGUUCCUGUAUGAUGAGAGUUUAAAUUCCUACCACAGCCAUAUAUACAUGCUUAUUAAACUAGAAACCGUACAUUUACUUUUUACUACCUUUGAGCAUUGAGUGUGGUCAAGCUGUGUAGACCCUAAGGAGCUUGUCAUGCGGUUAAAAUCAAGAUUCAUUUGCACGUUCACUCAUACAUGCUGCUUCUACUCCGGAAGUAUGCAUCCACAUACAUCCACUCAUUUCCAUCUCCAGAUUCACCCAAAAUUAUUCUACUCCUAUCCAGGAGAGAAUAGCCAAAAACAUUAUCCUAUCCCUGUUAUUCCUCGUGAAAUAAAAGCUCAAGAUAUUUUGGUUACUACCACUUGCUACAUUAUUCCAGGAGGGUGAGUGCUCUAAAAAAGAGAAGAAAAAGGUAAAAUAUGAGGAAAUAAGGGUCAAGUUCCCGGAACCUCGAAGAAAAGAAAAAGUGAGACGAGAGGUAAAAUUAGACAAGUAUCAGACAGUAGAAUUAGGGGUACAAGAUACCCACCUGAGAGAAAAGAAAAAGAAAAUAUAGAGCAUCUCAUUCUCCUCAAAAAGCUUCAAACUGCAAGGAAGGUAUGUAUCCCCUCAAAAGAGCAAAAGUAGAAUUAGACUUUCACCAUUGUUUUCACCAUUAUCACCAUCAUCACCAUACACCAUUCAUUCGCUACACAUGCACAUCUUGAUUUGACUUAUUGACUUGUUUCUCUAGAUCCACAGUUUGAUUAUGCAAUAAAUGUCUUGUAAGUAUGUAUACUUUAUCUCCCACCUAUGAGCUCUAGAUAUCGAAGCCUCAUUAGAGUAGGAUGAGAGAGAAGGCAAUAUCACUAUGCCUCAUACCACAAAUCCUACAUACUUUGAGAGAAGGCAUAUAUCAUCACUGCCUUGGUGAGGAUCCAAAAAUACCACAAAAGGGAGAUCUGAGAGAGUUGAGCAAGGAAUCUCUGAGUUUUAUUUGAAAACCGGCAAAAACUACAGAGCUAUAGCUGAUCAAGGAUAAGAGACAUGGCGCUUGACUAGACCGUUCUAUCUUUUAACUGCUCA
This 1077-nucleotide long non-coding RNA is filed under the name Sorghum bicolor (sorghum). RNAcentral's name for it is "long non-coding RNA (SBIC_LNC001029)". The record is from RNAcentral. Lineage: Eukaryota; Viridiplantae; Streptophyta; Magnoliopsida; Poales; Poaceae.